CUAAAGAGAAUCAUCUGCUCUAGAGGGCAGUCCACAAACCAGGAGGAUCCUUGGGUUCUUCUCCAAGAAGCCAAAGUGGUCCAGGACAAUGUUCUAGAUCAGCCCCCUUUUUGACUCAGGAAACUGUUGUAACCAUACGUGGUCUCCAACUCUGCAGAUAACCCUUCCAGCCUAUCAGAAAGGAGGCAAGUUGAAGUCCAUGGCCAGAGAAACCCUGAAAGCCCUAAGGCUCAUCAGCAACUAUGGAGAAAGGAAGAAAAAAAUUUUUUUAAUGUAGUCAAGAAAUCACUCAACACCAAGAAUGAACAGAACUGGUGUGAAGGUGACCCAUGGAUGUGGUAUCUCAACUACCUUUUUGGCAGCACACCUCUUCAGAAGUGGAUGCUUCGCACAACCAGCAUGAACCUCUACAGUAGCUAAGCUGCUCAGCUGUAAGCCUAUGAAGUCAGGCCAACAUGGGCCAGUGUCACAUCUGAGAAUCAUUACAAAGUUAAAGACAUCACAUCACUCAUUCCUAAUACUUCAAAAUGCAGCUCCUGAAAUAAGGACAUACUCUUAAUAACCAUGAUACCAUCAUCACACCUUUUGAAACUGGAGUUUUACUUCCUCAAGAGCAGGAACAACGUGUAAACAUUUUUAACCCAGGAAAGAGAAAAAGAAAUAAGCAUAUUAUAUAUCAACCACUGUGCUGGGAGGGUUCCCACAUAUGCUCUCAUUCCAAUUCUGACAAAAGCUUUUCAAGAUAACUUCAAGAAGUCCAUUAUUUUCUUCUUACUGAACAAGAACUAAUUCCUCUGCGGAUUUGUGUGGCUGUAGUACUGCUUCUGGACAGCAGAGGUCACUAUUAACAGCCAACUAUUGCAUUCUGGACCAAGAGAUUAAUGGAAUCAUGGUUAGAGUGAAAAAGAACCUAGUGAACCAAAGGAUGAUAAAUGAGUAAAUAAAUUUCAAAGAAAAAAAUUUAAAGAGAGAAAAAAUUGUGCCUGAAAAGGAAGAUGAAUAGAAACAUAGAUCUGGCAAUCAAAUUUGAGCAUCAUAUACACUUAUGGAUAAUAUAAAAAAGAAAAGAAAAGAAAACCUUCCAAAGAGAUAGUUUAAUCCCAAAGAGAAUCUUUCAAACAGAAAAUCUUUCACAGUAUUUUAUUGACACAAUUUUCAAGUUUUCAUUGAAUUGCAAUUAAAAUGCUAAACAAAUUUUAGGGCUGCUGUUUCAUUAAGGCGUCUUCAUCAAAUAACGAAUAAAUGAUAUGAUAGAGUGACCACCAAAGAGAAAACCAUGACACUCUUCUUCAUUAACUAGCUGCUUCCAAAAAAGGGUCAGGGAGCUCUACUCUGGGGAUGUUGGAUUAUUGACUUGAGAGGCCUAAGAAAGAACUCAUUGGUACUCCAGAAUGCACCUGCUUCAAGGAAGGGAUCCAACAGCUCCAGCAUUCAUCUCCUCUGACACCCUCUGCUGGAAGUGCUAAUGAGCAAUUGAAAACCUGGAUGAGAAGGCAGUUGUUUCACAGAGCUCUGUGGGAACCUUCAUCAAGGCUGCUCCAUCUUAGAGCCUACUUCCUGCUCCCUGGCAGGCUGUUCUUCAGAGCCUCACCAUCACUGACAAAGGGGCUGGGCCCAGGGGCUCUGAGCUCCAAUUCCAGCCCCACUGAACAAAGAAAAUGGCCCAGAAAGAUAAAUUCUCUUGCUUCAGGUGACAUAGCUCAAACAUGGCAGCACUAGGAUUCUAACCCUACUUGGGCUCCAGAGUCUCAACUCCUUUCACAGCAGCUAUACUGCCUUUGCACAGGGUUACAGCAAGGACCUAGGCAAUACUCCUGGACAAGGACAAGUUUCUUCUCACACAGAUGAUCACCCAGAAGGAUGCUCACAGCUUCAAGUGAGAGAUAAACAUUUAUUUAAGUGUAUGGAGGUAUCAGUAUGGACAAAGAUAUUGGAUUUUUAUGAACUUCUAACAUAGCACUUGGCACAUACUGAUGGGAACGUCUUUAAAAAGCCAAGAACCAGAAUAUCACCCCAAGACAUCUGGUCCUCUCAUCCUUUAGUGAAGUGCAGAUGGAGACUCCUAUGUGGUCUUGUAAAGAAUGAUGGAGAACCACUAGUCAAACGAAAGAAUAAUGGGAAAGCAGCUGAAUAAUAGCUUCAGAACUUUUUGAUUAUUUGUUAUAACUAAUACAUGAAAAAAAUUAAGAUUAUCACAGUAUUUGGGAACCCUCGGCUAAAGAGAUGUCUUUACAAAGCGAGAGCUAAGAGACUUUUAACUAAGACUGCCUUGAAUACCUCCAAGGAGGUUCAACUCAUUUAGGAAAUUCAAGGAAGACAGGUUCUGUGACCCAGAAGCGCCAACCCAGCCACCACUGUGCCCAGGUAGCAGCCCUUUUGAAUCAAGGUAUGGAAGCUCAAAGGAAAUAACUUCUGGAGGCCUCCACAUCCAAGUGUAAAAUGUUGAGUGAGGGCAAACAACACAUCCACAUUUGACACCCCUCCCCAAGGCACAAAUUUAGGCCCUCAGAGAACCUACAAGUCCCCAAAGGACAAGAGACUCUGGGGUGAACUCUGAUGGCAGAAGUUCCUUAUGGCUGGAUGGGUAUCUCAGCACAUGAUCCCCAGAUAUGUCAGUGAAUGUGCAGACUGCUCAGCCACCAAUGUUGACGGGACUUCGAAUUAUAUCACAGAACUUAAUUGGAAAAAGCUCAACCAUCCCAUGGAUUUAGCUCCUUCCUGUUUCUUUGGAGGUGACCUCUCACAGUGCCUACCUGCUCUCUCAGAAACCUUCGGGAACUGAAAUGAAAGGAAGCACGCAGACAUCUGUUGUGGAAAAGAGCAGUACCUGAGACGAAUGUCAGGGCCAGAAUUAAGCUGAUUGGCACACAUUAAAAUGCAACAUAAUGGUGUAUUUGUCGAGGUGGCCCUCUCCUGCAGUUGGCACACGAGGAAUAAUGAUGGCUUACUGACAGAAGCAGGGACUCAGCCGCUUGAUAACAUUGUCAAGCUGAUGGUUUGAAGUGGCCCCAACAUCGCCUGCAUUUGGCUGGAAACAGCAGCCAUUCACUGUCUCAGGCAGGGUGCUGAAAAACAGACCCACAGCCCUAAACAACGCUGUCCAUUUUGAAAGGCUUGAGUAAAAGCAGUCUCUGCCAUAAUUUCCAUUGUCAUUCUUCCCCCACUGUUUAUAUAAUAUGGUCAGGAGUGGGACUGUAAACUAAUAUUACAUUCAGGAGCCUCAAACAACAAACACCAGCGCUGGGUUUUCCGGGGAGAGGAUUACCAAGCUUCCUACAGUGGCAGGCUCGCCAUGGCACACACAGCCACCUGCCUUAUUAAAGCCGUCCUUUCCUGGGAAAAGAACAUUGCCACAGAAAUAAUGCAUUAAUUUGGCAUUUCCUUCGGUCUCACUCAGCACGCAGUGUGCUUCUCUAAGCAUGAAAACAGCACAUCUUCACAGAAACAUUUCUAAAAUGAUGUGCCUACUCAUAGAAAAGAUCAAUUUGAAUAGAUUGAGUCCCCAAGAGGGCAAUUCAAUACAAAAAGUUCUCAAGUAAAGUUAAGACAGAUUGUCCAACCAGUUUUCGAGCCCAGCACAGACCUUUACCCUUGCCCGUAUUUUAGCUUAUAGACCCCCUCUUUCUCUUUCCCUCUCUUGCAAUGUAUAUAUACACACACAGACACACUUAUUUUAGCUCUCUGUAUACUGAGAACAAAGCUCUUGCUAUGUCAGCAUAAAAGCUGUUGCUGUUGAAGUGAGAAAAAAAAAAGUGUGCUCUAAUAUAGGGAAUGGAAACAUAAAGUUAUUGAAUGUGACUUUUGCCUGAGAGGCUGUAUUUGGGUUGUUGAAAGUUAGAAAAAGAGAGAUGAAAUAGGAUUAUAAGGGGAGGGUGUAGGGAUUGGGAGAGAAAGGGAGUGACAAAGAUUGGCUGAUUAAAAUGCUAGCUAGUGGGUACUGUGUUGAAAACUCAGAUUUGAGAGGUGAAAGGCCAGACCCGGUGCAGAACAGCCAAAAUGGAAUUAGAGCUUUAACGUACAAUUAGCAGACUGAGGGCCAGAAGCUACACGUUGCAACAAGGAAGUGACAAUUAUAAACAGCUCAGGAAAGGAUGGAAAUCCAGAAGUGAUAAUGUGCUGCUGAGAAGGGAGAAUGGAACUCCCUGGAUCAAGUACAAGAGGACAAACACACAACCCACCAAAACUAGGGCACAUUAAGUGAAAAAUCUGAUAGCUGUGUGUGGCUUUUUUUCCCCCCUUCUUCUUUUGUUUUCAUUCUUAGGGCAAGUAUUGUUGCCACUGAAUUUACCAGGUUGGUUUUUGCCUGGCAGCCGCCUCAGAUACGUAACCGGUAAGAAAGCAGAGAGCCAAAAUUCCUCUAAGACAUAAUUCGUGUAUUCUCUGCAUGUGUGUAAAUUAUGAUACCACAGACACUGCACUUACUAUUGCCGUCCUCCAUCUUCUGAGACAGGCCUGAGAACAGUUUAUCCCAUGUAACUUUGAUGCUUUCAACAACUGGACCCAUGGCUGGGUAACUCAAUAAGUAAGAGUCCCAUAUUAACAAGCAAAGAAUAGGAAACAGUUGUUUCCAAACAUGGCUGCCUAGUAGAACCACCUGGACAGGUUGUUAAAAUUCCCUACUCCAGUGUUGUAGAUCUUGAUCUUGGUAAUCAUUCUACAAUGUAUAUG
Molecule: long non-coding RNA, 4668 nt
Organism: Canis lupus familiaris (dog)
Lineage: Eukaryota; Metazoa; Chordata; Mammalia; Carnivora; Canidae
Exons: 19
Source: RefSeq, a predicted model, not a curated record